Molecule: long non-coding RNA, 1661 nt
Organism: Phasianus colchicus (ring-necked pheasant)
Lineage: Eukaryota; Metazoa; Chordata; Aves; Galliformes; Phasianidae
Source: Ensembl
GCCCAGGUGUAGAGCUCAGAGGGACCAGGUCAGAGUGAAACCAUUCCACGAGUGGUAAAUACUGCAUGAGGAUGAUCCCACUUUAUCUAACUUCAGUGUCCAAUAUGCAGCCAAAUGUCUUCUCUGAGUUUAUCACCCUAGUUUGCUCUGUAGGGGUGACUCACAGAGUGGAUAUGGACAGAGAUCUUAAAGGGAUGUACAUCCAUAUGAAGAAUCUGCAGACUAGCUGUACACAGGGGUCUAGAUGAUGUUCUUCAAACAGACUUUGUUUGGAGGCUUAUUAGCACUGCUACAUGUUGCUGGCAGCCAGCAGCCCUGCUCCCUGCUACCUGUGGUCAUGGCAGCUUUCUCCCUCACCUUCUCUCUCAAUACUGGUGAAAAACAGCACACUGAGGAUUAUAUGGAGCAUGAAAUGGCCCAGGAACGGUUUUUCUCGUGCUACUUAAACUUCAUUUAAUGAAGCUGAAAUACAAUGCCAUCAGCUGAAAAAUGUGAUGGGAAUUCACCUCAUCGGCUCAGGAAAGCAUCUGUUGUGGUGAUCUGAAGCUGUCUUAGCUAAAGGCUAAACUGUGCUAUUUUUAAAGCACAUUCCCAUCAUGGAAACGAGGAAAUGGAGUCAGUGGAGCAGUUCACAGAGGAAUGAUUGAAAGCUUGAGAUAUACGUUGCAGGGGAGAGAGCAGCAAGCCACUAAGGCUAAUAUUUAGGACAUAUCAAACUCUAACACUUCUGUAAUUUCAAUUGUUUUAAGAAUGUCACGCUCAUCAUUCUGUUUUUGAUUAAAAGGUGCUGGAACAUUUUUUGGACCAUAUUUGUGAUUCUUCUCCAUCUCUUGUUUUGCAGUCAUUUCUCACCAAAUUGAACAGUGUAGGAUAAUUGUUCCAGGCAAACUAAGAGUAUCAGACUCUUUGUUCAUAACACAGACCCAUUCUAAACCAUUUCGUAAUCAACCCAGAAUGAGUAUUUUUAUAUCUGUGUCUGGGUCAUAAGUUUACUGACCCAACACAUGAAGGAAAACAAUUAGAAAUUUACUGCUCCACUGAAAUAACUAAUCACCCAUGCAUUAGGAAGGAAUACAACUGCAGUAUAAUCAUGAGAUAAAGAAGGCAAAAGCUACUGCAAAUGAGGGAAAUAGAGAUAAUGAUGUAUUCCAGCUCCAUGCAGAUAACUAUGGAUAAGUAAUUACGGUGAGAUUAUUGGAGUGUGGCCAGUUCUUUUGCUGAAGUGUCUGUUAGAUGUUUUUCUCUUUGAUUGUGGAACGUACUUUUUGUUGUCCGUGUUUAGGGUAAGAGCUGGAUAUUCAGAAAUGCUGACAACAAGAAACUCUAGACUGCUUCCAUUGCAAGUCUUCCAGUCACGCUAAUGAGGGCAAAGUUUUGCACUAAUAGUAAAACUCUGAAUGUUCUCAGCCUCUAAAAAUACAUCCUUGUUUAGAUACACAUAAUGUAUUAGCAAAUAUUUACUUGUAACUGGGAGUUUUGCUGUAUGCAAUUUCAGGUUCUGCAAUCCUGAAGAUGUUUAUGGCUAUGAUUAACUUUGCAUGUGGUUUCAAAGCUAAUAGCACAAGUGAUAGUGUUUAAAAUGAAGUACGUCUCUAGGACCUUGCAAAAUACAGGAUUCAUCCCUAAAUUCUAUGAAAUAAAUUCAUAAUGGCACAGAAUCA